RNAcentral lists this long non-coding RNA (4857 nucleotides) under Triticum aestivum (bread wheat). RNAcentral describes it as "long non-coding RNA (TAES_LNC011680)". The record is from RNAcentral. Lineage: Eukaryota; Viridiplantae; Streptophyta; Magnoliopsida; Poales; Poaceae.
GCCGUCUUGAUGUAGAAAAAAUAUACACAGCCGUCCCAUAAUUAAAAAAACUUAUCAUCACACGUUUAAAAAUAUAUAACUCUCAUGGUCCAAGAAAAAGUCAAACGAUCAUGACGCAAUGACCAAACUCUAUCAAUAUUUUACAAAGACAUAUCUCUCCAAACAUAAACAAAAUAUCUCUCCAAACAUAAACAAAAUCUCACGUUCACGUACAUAAAUAAAAUCUAGGCAUAAUCUCUCCAAACAUAAACAAAAUCUCACGUUCACGUACAUAGAUAAAAUCUCUCCGCAUCCAAGCAACCUCUCUUUCCAUCGAGCAAGUGUGGUCAACUCAGCCAUCCGUAAAAUACUUUCCCCAUGCAAUGCUUCGACCAUCUCAAAAAUGCAUUGUCCUUUAGAUUUCAGAGUACCCCUAUUACAUCAUCUUCCUCCGGCAAACAACACUUCGACAACUUCCUCCAACAAGUGGCACUUAAGCAUUGUCUUCCUGCAUCGGUCACCUGCACCCCAGUCUCAUGUCGUCUAUCCUCAAUCAUAAUCGGCUCUGUCAAGAGAUCAGACCAUCUUUAGUAAGUACCAUCUCACAGGAUUAGAUCAUCAUCCUCUACUAUAAUCUAGGAUUGCGGAACGGCAACCAUAGGUCUGAAGUCUAUUAAGAAGCAAAGGGUAAGGAUACUGCAGUAUGAUAUCUACUUGCAGUAUGUAGAUCAGAUAAUGGUCCACAUAAUAUUUGGACUGAAUACCUCAGUAAUUCUGUCUAAAUAAAAUACCUCAUUAAUCAAGUACAAAUGGCAUAAAAAUAACGUGAAAAGUAAGGCAAAAAGUAAUAAAAAUAAUGAAUCUUCACAAACUUGAGCAUUAAUCCGUAACCUGUGGUGGACCAACCAUUGGGACGAGCAGGGCUGGUCGGCCCAGUUCUCAAGCGGCGGAGCAAGAUACUCCCAUCUCCAAAUAUCAGCAGGUUCAUCGUCAUUGAUCUUUGUAGUCAUCCAUGAUCCAUCUCCCCAAAAAAACACAAAUUUGGUUCUACCAUUGUUUGUAAUAAUAUUAUAAUAUCAUCCUCUUGAACUUUAUAUUUUCAUUCUCUAUUGUGCAGGAAUAAACAAUGAAAAGAAAUGGUGGGGCACAUAGCAUGGAAUUUGAGAAACCUGCAAAAGGUUGUUAAAACACAUCAAAUACACAAUCCAACAAGAUGAACCGUUGGGAAUCAAGAAUCUUUUAUAUGUGAUAUCACAAGAAUGUUACAACUAGAAAGACAACAAUUCCAGUUAGGCACAAGAGGUUCCUAAUUGAUUUUUGCUUGGACAAGAAAACAAUAUUUUAACUUAUUAUCUUAUUGAUGCAAAACCAGACAAUCAACAAAAUGGCAAGAUUGGAAAGGAGAAUGAAACUGCAAGAAAAGAUAAAUAGACAGUCUUCGAUCAUACAUGGGGAUGUCCCACACUAGACACUACACAGCCACGCCGAAAGGACAACCUUUUAUCCACUUCAAGUAACAAAAUCUUCACAAAGUUUUACCCUUAUGUGUGUUAUCAACUUAUCAUCACUUUGGUUCUAAACUUUAACACUAAUGAUCUUAUGCUUUGCACAUCAAUUCUGUUGUAGUCCCAUUCAACAGAUAUCUACUGGCCAAAUAUCAAGCACAUAUAAAUGUAGAGGUGUGCAAGAGAUCCUUAUCAAUAAAAUAUCGUUUUUAAAUACAUAAAUAAAGGUGAUGACCAAGCCACGCUUCUAAUUGUUGGAAAAUAGUUCAGUUUGAAUUGCACUUCAGAGAUCCUUACGUCAAAAGAUUGCCUUUCUACAUGGAAAAUGAGCAGCAAGUCAUUUUCUCAGAUUCUACAGAUUUAACAAAGAUCGUAACGAAAGAAAGAGUAGGAAUCACUAAAUGUACACACUAGAUGGAUGUGUGAAGAAGCCAGUGAAUUAACAUAUGCAGAGUCGAUACAUUGUAUAUCUACAACGCAAUCAGACCUAUUUUCAAAUUUCGUUUUGAAUCUUAAUUUGUCUUUGGAAAAUAUUAAAAUUGUAGCUAAUCAUAAGUACACUAAUUAUUUUUAAGUUUGUUGAAUAGGGGUAGAGGGGCCUCACACUGCCAAUGUCAUCCCAAGAGUGGAAAAAAAGUGGAGGGGCCAUAAACAUAUUAACACUACACUGUAAUCUGUAUUUGGCAUUCAUAACUUACUAUCAUCAUUUAGUACCUUUACCAUAAGUCAAUGGAAAGAAAAUCAAGAGCAACGAGUAUACAUGAUGGUAUAAAAACCAUAAAUAGGAACGUUAGUCACUAAAAAGCACUACCUUAUUUAAUUAUAUUAGUUCAAUCAUACAAAGACAAAAAAAGGAUAAGAGGAAGGAGGACAUGUAGGUCAAAAUAUUCAAUGACCAAGCAGGUUGCCUCUGUUGACAACGGAGAAAAUUUUCGGGCUGCCUCGCUUUGGGACAGUGAGGACGCGUCCGAGUAGGCACUUGGGGACAACAUUGUCCCCACCAACCUCACACUCGCACGCGAGAGAAGCUAGCACAUCCCCUACAUGCAUGUCGAUGGCAAAAGCACCGUCAAUUCUGUUAUCAUGGAGGUUGAAAUCGCCCGGCAAAAAAAAACCACCCCCUCUCGCUCGCCCCCGCGUCGCUCCACCUGGGGCGACACGGGCGGCAAACCCUAGCCGCGGCCGCCGGCUUCCCCACCUCUGCCUCUCCCCCUCGUCGCCACCAGAGGGGUCGCCGGUGCGCCGCGCGGCUGCCAAGGAUGGUGGCGGCGAGGAUCUGGUAGCCUCGCUCUCUCUCGAGGUGCCCUGCAUCCAUGGCGGCAGCCAUGGCUGGUGGGCCAGUGCCUGCCUCAGCGGGCGGUGUCCGGCGGUGCUGGCCGUCCUCCUCGGCCGCGGGGGCGGCGAGGGGGCGGCAGGUGGUGGCGGUGGUGCGUUGCCCCUCGGUGGCGGCCGUUUCCGAUCUGUUGGCCUCUCCCCCGACAUCAACGGUGCCCUCCUGCCAGAUCUAGCCUAUGGUGGUCUUCGGCUGCCGGUGUUGUUCGUGCUUGGAGGUUGGAGGUGGGAAGGUACACCGGAGAAAUCCGAGGCCGGCUGGUCCGGCCACGACGGCGGCGACGUCCUUGGACGCCGUUCCCCUUCUUGUUGGCGUCGUCAAGGCUGUUCCUUUCCCCUCCUCUUCACCCUGCUCGUACCGGGUGAAAACCCAGAUCCUUUCCAGAUUGGGCGGCAGCGGCGCUACUGGCGUCGUCACCAUCUUGGGGGUGCCGUCUUUGAUGAGCUUGUGGUGGAGGUGCCGUUCUGGUUGUCUGGUGGUGGUUGGUGGUGUGGCCGGAGCUCGUCGGCCGUUGUCUCCGUGUGGCAGGGUUUCGCCUAUUUGCUCCCUUGGUUGUUCCUGCUCAUUUGUGGAUGGCGGGAGCUCGGUGCUCAUCUCUGCGGACUAGGUGCACCUCGGAGCUCCGGCGCGGCGUCCUCCUUCCACUGCUGCCUGGCCUUCAGCCGCCCUGCUGUGCCAUUGCUUCUCCGCGUGUGCAGAUCCUCGACAGGGCAGAGCUUCUCUUUAAUUUGCUUGACUUGGUAUGGUGUUGGCACUCUAUUUUGGCUUCCGUGGGCAACGGCGCCGGUUCCCACCUUAGUUCUUGGGGGAGCGUCUCCAUCUCUUGACGGAUCGGCGCCCUUCGUGCCAGGGCGAGGGGGCUGGUGCCCCCUUCGAAGAUGGAGGAGGUUGGUACCGUGUCGGCCAGAAUCCUUGGAGCAGACGAGAGUGCCUCUGCACCUAUUAAGUUCUUCAUGCCGACAAGGUCCUGCUGAUGCUUAUGUGUGGUGGUCUGCUCAUGCUGGAGGGCUUCAUCGUCUUCAAGCGGAUUAGGGCCUUAGUUAUCAUAUCUUUGCUUGUUGUGCGUAUGGAGCCUAUUAGUUGUUGGCACAGCACUUUGUAUCUUUCGCUGUUCUUCUUUUUCUGUUUUCCUUGUAAGGUGUCGUUUGUACUCUCCUGGCUGGUUGAUGGCUUUGUUAAUUCAAGUCGGGUUAGGUUCGAGCCUUUCUUGGGCUCGGCCAAGCCUUUCCUCUAAAAAAAAAAUUCUGUUAUCAUGUAUGCGCAGACAUAUGCUUACAUUCUUUCCAAUUUCACUCCCUAAUUAUCAGUAUCUACCUCACUCAACACCUAUGGAGCCCUUAAAAAAAUAAUCACAUUCUUUUUCAAGAUUCCAAGGAAAAAUGAAGAAACAAUUUUCACUAAACAGGCAUGUCCUUAAUUACGUUAUGUUCAAUCACACAAACAAAGGAAACGGUUCUGAAAAAGAAUGAUAGUCAAGGAAAAGGGAAAGAGGGACCUUCGAACUUCAAAUAAUGUCGCCCAUGUGGAGGAUGCGUUUGGCUGGCGCUCUAGGGGCAGAAAACGUUUCCACCAUCCUCAUAAGUACUAAAGAUGGAUCAAAGAUGGCUGCAAGAGACGAAAUCCAUGCCCACAUCACCUGCACGGACGCCGACAGCAACAACACCGCGCAGAUGGAUGAUCUCGCCUACUCCCUUCGCAGCUUGACCUUGGGCCUGCUACCCCUCCAUCGCCGUUUACCAGCCUAGGAGACCGAGAAGGCGUACGUGGAGACAAACCAGCCGUCGUUGAAGGUCAUCCUAUGGCCGGACCAGCGAAUCGAGCUGCGGGGGUGGCUGCAGGAGAGGAUGAGCAAGCUCAUGGCAACGAAUCAAGGAAGCAAGCUGACGGGGAGCUAUCUGGCGGCAGUAAUUUUGGAGUGAACGGAGAGAACAAGGAAGAGAGAAAGGGGAUCUGGCUAGAGCAACAUGCGAGUGUGUGAAGGUGUGAACGUGAAAGAGGAUACAGUAUUUUUUGGGGGGUUCGUAGGAAAAAGGAUGUGUG